GGUGGUUCUCGGGUGAUGCACCCCAGAAUCAGGCUCCUCCUCUCUGGUUCCAGGAUGCAUCUCCUGAGAACCGCC
This is a non-coding RNA of Myotis lucifugus (little brown bat), 75 nucleotides long. The record is from Rfam. Lineage: Eukaryota; Metazoa; Chordata; Mammalia; Chiroptera; Vespertilionidae.